Long non-coding RNA from Carassius carassius (crucian carp), 224 nucleotides. RefSeq lists it as uncharacterized. The record is from RefSeq and is a predicted model, not a curated record. The transcript has 2 exons. Lineage: Eukaryota; Metazoa; Chordata; Actinopteri; Cypriniformes; Cyprinidae.
CAGAAAAGUCGAACAGAGCAUUUUGGCCAAUUGGGGAUUGCGGAAGUUUUCCAGCGCGAACAUGGUGGUGGUUCAAGAGGUUGCCACUCUCUGACUCUGAUCAUGAAUCGCCCGGAGACUGGAUGAGAGAGCUGAAGUCACUGGUACAGUAGCUGAUCAUUGUAUGAACUGGACAUACAUGGAGGCUGUUCUCAUCGAGAGACAAUAAAUAUCUCAGAAACUCA